RNAcentral lists this ribosomal RNA (472 nucleotides) under uncultured bacterium. RNAcentral's name for it is "bacterial SSU rRNA". It matches the Rfam family "Bacterial small subunit ribosomal RNA", at positions 355 to 825 of the family's 1533-position model. The record is from RNAcentral.
UGGGGAAUAUUGGACAAUGGGGGGAACCCUGAUCCAGCGAUGCCGCGUGUGUGAAGAAGGCCUGCGGGUUGUAAAGCACUUUCAGUUGGGAAGAGAGUUUGUUGUUGAAUAGACAGCAGAUGAGACGUUACUAACAAAAGAAGCACCGGCUAACUCUGUGCCAGCAGCCGCGGUAAUACAGAGGGUGCGAGCGUUAAUCGGAGUGACUGGGCGUAAAGGGCAUGUAGGCGGUUAUGUUAGUCUGAUGUAAAAUACCCGGGCUUAACCUGGGAUAUGCGUUGGAAACGGCAUAGCUAGAGUAUGGGAGAGGGAAGUGGAAUUUCCGGUGUAGCGGUGAAAUGCGUAGAGAUCGGAAAGAACACUCGUGGCGAAGGCGGCUUUCUGGCCCAUAACUGACGCUGAGGUGCGAAAGCAUGGGGAGCAAACAGGAUUAGAUACCCACGUAGUCCCUGAGCGGGCUGGCAAGGCGCAU